Molecule: transfer RNA, 73 nt
Filed under: Camelus bactrianus (Bactrian camel)
Lineage: Eukaryota; Metazoa; Chordata; Mammalia; Artiodactyla; Camelidae
Also listed under: 2 other names
Rfam family: tRNA
About the family: Transfer RNA (tRNA) molecules are approximately 80 nucleotides in length. Their secondary structure includes four short double-helical elements and three loops (D, anti-codon, and T loops).
Source: Rfam by way of RNAcentral
GGGAGUAUAGCUCAAUGGUUAGAGUGCUUGCUUAGCAUGAACAAGGUCUUGGGCUCAAUUCUCAGUACCUCCA